This is a long non-coding RNA of Epinephelus fuscoguttatus (brown-marbled grouper), 579 nucleotides long. RefSeq lists it as uncharacterized. The transcript has 3 exons. The record is from RefSeq and is a predicted model, not a curated record. Lineage: Eukaryota; Metazoa; Chordata; Actinopteri; Perciformes; Serranidae.
GUACGUUUUUAGCUUAAAUGUUGUAAGAGUUAUUAAGCGUUUAUAAGUCGUGUUUUUUCGGCUGUUAAAAAAAUGACAACCGUUAUUUUUCAAGCUAAGUUAACUACAUACGGAGACCAACUGAAGGAGCUCGCGAUGGAGACAUUACACACCUUAUUAUGGGUGCCCGUGUCAACAGGUAGACCUCAAACCGUUACCACAGACUCCCAGCUGUCCUACCAGAAGGGAGCAAGGGAAUUAAGAAGGAAGCAAGGAAAUGAGGAGCAUUGAGUUACUCUGCAGCCCUGGGCCUGAUGGGGAACUGGACUCCGCAGUUUGUAUUCCCUCACAGAGCAGAGGUCAGCGGUAAUCAACCCAAACACUGCCAAGCCACUCUCUGUCUCACCACACAGCAUUCAGCACACACCACUUAUGCCUCUACACUACUUGUUGUUGUUGCUGUUGACUGGCACAUGUGAACCAGUAAACAAAGUCUUUUAGAGAUAAAAUAUAUGAACAUGUUGUCCCCUCAUUGAGAGAGGAAGAGAGGCCCUUGGGCUUCUCUAAUUGGUUCCCGGAGGAGGCUGUUAUUUAUGUAUU